This 496-nucleotide ribosomal RNA is filed under the name uncultured bacterium. RNAcentral describes it as "bacterial SSU rRNA". It matches the Rfam family "Bacterial small subunit ribosomal RNA", at positions 355 to 867 of the family's 1533-position model. The record is from RNAcentral.
UGGGGAAUCUUGGACAAUGGGGGCAACCCUGAUCCAGCCAUGCCGCGUGAGUGAUGAAGGCCUUAGGGUCGUAAAGCUCUUUCGCCUGUGAAGAUAAUGACGGUAGCAGGUAAAGAAACCCCGGCUAACUCCGUGCCAGCAGCCGCGGUAAUACGGAGGGGGCUAGCGUUGUUCGGAAUUACUGGGCGUAAAGCGCACGUAGGCGGACCAGAAAGUUGGGGGUGAAAUCCCGGGGGCUCAACCCCGGAACUGCCUCCAAAACUAUUGGUCUAGAGUUCGAGAGAGGUGAGUGGAAUUCCAAGUGUAGAGGUGAAAUUCGUAGAUAUUUGGAGGAACACCAGUGGCGAAGGCGGCUCACUGGCUCGAUACUGACGCUGAGGUGCGAAAGUGUGGGGAGCAAACAGGAUUAGAUACCCUGGUAGUCCACACCGUAAAACGAUGAAUGCCAGUCGUCGGGUAGCAUGCUAUUCGGUGACACACCUAACGGAUUAAGCAC